RNAcentral lists this transfer RNA (72 nucleotides) under Phycisphaerales bacterium. RNAcentral describes it as "tRNA-Met". It matches the Rfam family "tRNA". From Rfam's summary of the family: Transfer RNA (tRNA) molecules are approximately 80 nucleotides in length. Their secondary structure includes four short double-helical elements and three loops (D, anti-codon, and T loops). Lineage: Bacteria; Pseudomonadati; Planctomycetota; Phycisphaerae; Phycisphaerales. The record is from RNAcentral.
GGCGGGAUAGAGCAAUGGCAGCUCAGCGGGUUCAUGACCCGCAGCGUGAAGGUUCGAAUCCUUCUCCCGCAA